Long non-coding RNA from Centruroides sculpturatus (bark scorpion), 772 nucleotides. RefSeq lists it as uncharacterized. The transcript is spliced from 3 exons. Lineage: Eukaryota; Metazoa; Arthropoda; Arachnida; Scorpiones; Buthidae. The record is from RefSeq and is a predicted model, not a curated record.
CUAAGUAAUUUGCUACUAGCCAUGUAAGGUUAUAUCUAAAUUUAAAUACAUCUGGAAGUGAAAGGUUUGCUUGUUGGGGUCCACAUGGUGCAACUGGCAAGUGCACUGCACGGCAAGCAGAGGUUGCUGGUUCAAGCCCUGCCCCAGACCAGUUUUUUUCUUCCAGAUGAUUCUAAAUUAUUAUUUAAAAAUUAUAAUUAUUAAUUUAGAUAAGAGAUGGCACCUAACAUCUACCUCUAGUAGCAAAUUACUUAGUAUUAGGCUAUAAAUCUGCUAAUUUUAAUAAUUGAGUAUUUAAGAUGAUUGUUUGGCUAUACCUAUGUAUAUCUAUUUUUAAUUUAAUUUAUAAACAUCAUUUUGAUAAAAUUAAUUAUGUAUUACUUUUACUUAGGAUGAAGCAAAAAGGAGUUUAAUGAGAGCAUUAAUAACAGGACCAGAAGGAUCACCUUUUUCCAAUGGCUGUUUUCAGUUUGAUAUUUAUUUCCCUUCAAAAUAUCCUGUAAAACCACCUAAAGUUAAUUUCAGAACAACUGGGAAGAAAAAUGUCAGAUUUCAUCCAAAUUUACCUGUGUAAGUAAAAAUUUAAAAUAAUUGCACAUAAGUGUAGGAAUACGUCCAGCAGGUCUGACAGCAGCUGGAUCAAUAUUUUAAAUACAAAUACAAUUUAUGUAUAUGAUAACUUUCAGAUAUGUAGUAUGUUUUAUUUGAAACUUUUUCUUUCUCAAGAUUCAACUCCUCUGGAUAUUUGAUAGAGAUGUCAAACAAACAUAAA